Molecule: ribosomal RNA, 298 nt
Filed under: uncultured bacterium
Lineage: Bacteria
Description: partial 16S ribosomal RNA
Rfam family: Bacterial small subunit ribosomal RNA
Source: RNAcentral
GUGUACCUACGGGGGGCAGCAGUAGGGAAUCUUCGGCAAUGGACGAAAGUCUGACCGAGCAACGCCGCGUGAGUGAAGAAGGUUUUCGGAUCGUAAAACUCUGUUGGUAGAGAAGAACGUUGGUGAGAGUGGAAAGCUCAUCAAGUGACGGUAACUACCCAGAAAGGGACGGCUAACUACGUGCCAGCAGCCGCGGUAAUACGUAGGGGGCAAGCGUUGUUCGGAAUGACUGGGCGUAAAGGGUGUGUAGGCGGUGUAGCAAGUUAGAAGUGAAAUACCUAGAGCUUAACUCAGUGGC